This 232-nucleotide unclassified non-coding RNA is filed under the name Glomus sp. RNAcentral describes it as "partial contains 5.8S ribosomal RNA and internal transcribed spacer 2". The stretch from base 1 to 71 matches the Rfam family "5.8S ribosomal RNA", at positions 84 to 154 of the family's 154-position model. Lineage: Eukaryota; Fungi; Glomeromycota; Glomeromycetes; Glomerales; Glomeraceae. The record is from RNAcentral.
GUGAAUCAUCGAAUUUUUGAACGCAAAUUGCACUCUCUGGGAAUCCGGAGAGUAUUCCUGUUUGAGGGUCAGUUUAAAUGAAAAUCGUGGUGGUUGUUGCCUUUCGUGGUGACGCACCGGAUUUGGGUCGUCCUGCCUUCGGUUAAGUGACCUAAAAUUUUGCAUGAUGUUUUUCGAACGUAUUUAAAUGUUUUUACGUACGUUUGCGAUGUCGAUUACUAGGUGUGGUCAU